Cucurbita maxima (winter squash) is the source of this 166-nucleotide long non-coding RNA. RefSeq lists it as uncharacterized. The transcript is spliced from 2 exons. Lineage: Eukaryota; Viridiplantae; Streptophyta; Magnoliopsida; Cucurbitales; Cucurbitaceae. The record is from RefSeq and is a predicted model, not a curated record.
AUAGUCAAUAGUGAAUCUUUUGAGCCCAAAAAAGGAUUAGAUUGUGGUUAGAACAAGAUAUUUUAAAAGUGUUUAUUGAUAACUUUGGAACUGAUGAUGCAGUUAAAGCCAUAAAGUUGGAGUUGCCUAAUUCCACAAGACUUAGAGGUAGAUCUACGAGCUUUUA